CCUACGGGUGGCUGCAGUGGGGAAUAUUGGACAAUGGGCGCAAGCCUGAUCCAGCCAUGCCGCGUGGGUGAAGAAGGCCUUCGGGUUGUAAAGCCCUUUUGUCCGGAAAGAAAAGUUCUGGGUUAAUAACCCAGGAUCAUGACGGUACCGGAAGAAUAAGCACCGGCUAACUUCGUGCCAGCAGCCGCGGUAAUACGAAGGGUGCAAGCGUUACUCGGAAUUACUGGGCGUAGAGCGUGCGUAGGUAUGGGAAAGCCCUGGGCUCAACCUGGGAACUGCAUUUGAUACUGGAUCACUAGAGUGCGGUAGAGGAUAGUGGAAUUCCCGGUGUAGCAGUGAAAUGCGUAGAGAUCGGGAGGAACACCAGUGGCGAAGGCGACUAUCUGGACCAGCACUGACACUGAGGCACGAAAGCGUGGGGAGCAAACAGGAUUAGAUACCCGGGUAGUC
RNAcentral lists this ribosomal RNA (450 nucleotides) under uncultured bacterium. RNAcentral's name for it is "partial 16S ribosomal RNA". It matches the Rfam family "Bacterial small subunit ribosomal RNA", at positions 338 to 795 of the family's 1533-position model. The record is from RNAcentral.